RNAcentral lists this ribosomal RNA (601 nucleotides) under Clostridioides difficile. RNAcentral's name for it is "bacterial LSU rRNA". It matches the Rfam family "Bacterial large subunit ribosomal RNA", at positions 1168 to 1786 of the family's 2925-position model. The record is from RNAcentral. Lineage: Bacteria; Bacillati; Bacillota; Clostridia; Peptostreptococcales; Peptostreptococcaceae.
AAGAGUUCCGGGGGUAAAACUGACUACCGAGGUGACUGGAUCAGGAGUGAGGGGGUGUGGAGCUUCUCAGACGGGUUGAAGCAUGACCGUAAGGACAGGGGGACAGUAUGGGAGUGAGAAGGUUGGCAUGAGUAGGGAGAUGUGGGUGAGAGUCCCACAGGCCGUAAACCCAAGGUUUCCAGGGGAAGGUUCGUCCGCCCUGGGUUAGUCGGGACCUAAGCUGAGGCCGAAAGGCGUAGGUGAUGGACAACAGGUUGAUAUUCCUGUACUACCGAUAACCGUUUGAGAGAGGGGAUGACACAGUAGGAUAAGCUAAGCACACUGUUGGUUAUGUGUGCACAAGCAUUGAGGCAGUCAAAGUAGGCAAAUCCGCUUUGAUAAUGCUGGGAUGUGAUGGGGAGCGACAUUUAGUAGCGAAGUAGCUGAUUUCACACUGUCCAGAAAAGUCUCUAUCGAGGAUAAAGGUACCCGUACCGCAAACAGACACAGGUGGGUGAGGAGAGUAGACUAAGGCCAGCGAGAGAACUGGUGUUAAGGAACUGGGCAUAAGGACCCGGUAACCUAGGGCUAAGGUGUGCCACCAUCAGGUGGCCGCCGAGAA